This 246-nucleotide ribosomal RNA is filed under the name uncultured bacterium. Its description in RNAcentral is "partial 16S ribosomal RNA". It matches the Rfam family "Bacterial small subunit ribosomal RNA", at positions 111 to 354 of the family's 1533-position model. The record is from RNAcentral.
UAACGCGUGGGCAACCUGCCUCAUACAGGGGGAUAGCAUCGGGAAACUGGUGGUAAAACCGCAUAAGCGCACGAAGACGCAUGUAUUCGGUGUGAAAAGGAGAAAUCUGGUAUGAGAUGGACCCGCGUCUGAUUAGCUAGUUGGAGUGGUAAAAGCACACCAAGGCGACGAUCAGUAGCCGGCCUGAGAGGGUGGACGGCCACAUUGGGACUGAGACACGGCCCAGACUCCUACGGAAGGCAGCAG